This 385-nucleotide ribosomal RNA is filed under the name uncultured Russulaceae. RNAcentral describes it as "eukaryotic LSU rRNA". Lineage: Eukaryota; Fungi; Basidiomycota; Agaricomycetes; Russulales; Russulaceae. The record is from RNAcentral.
UGCANAAUUCANUGAAUCAUCGAAUCUGUUGCAAGCGCAGCACUGUGCGCCCUUUGGUCAUUCCGAUACGGAGCACACCCGUUUGANUGUCGUGACAUUCUCACAAACCUUCAUUGGUUUCUCGACUGAAAAGGCUUUGGACUUUGGAGGCUUAUUGCUGAACCUUCCCUUGNUGAAGACCAGCUCCUCUAGANAUGAAUUAAUGGGGUCUGCUUUGCUGAUGCNUCUGACGUGAUAACGAUGCUUCUACGUACUUGGGUUUUGCACUGUCUUGCUCUAGAUCCUGCUUCUAACUGUCUUAUAGAAGACAAAUGGUCGACUUGACCCACAAACCUUGACCUCAAAUCGGGUGAGACUACCCGCUGAACUUAAGCAUAUCAAUAAG